This 201-nucleotide microRNA precursor is filed under the name Oryza punctata. RNAcentral describes it as "MIR812 microRNA precursor family". It matches the Rfam family "MIR812 microRNA precursor family". The record is from Rfam by way of RNAcentral. Lineage: Eukaryota; Viridiplantae; Streptophyta; Magnoliopsida; Poales; Poaceae.
AAAGAGUACAAUUUUACACUGUUUAUGUCUGACGUUUGUCCGUUCAUCUUAUUUAAAAUUUUUUUAUGAUUAGUAUUUUUGUUGUUAUUAGACGAUAAAACAUAAAUAAUACUUUACUUGUGACUAAUUUUAUUUUUAUAAAUUUUUUAAAUAAAAUGGAUAGUUAAACGUUAGAUACGGAUAUUCACGACUGCUUUUAAA